RNAcentral lists this long non-coding RNA (405 nucleotides) under Gallus gallus (chicken). Lineage: Eukaryota; Metazoa; Chordata; Aves; Galliformes; Phasianidae. The record is from RNAcentral.
GAUUCUUUCAGUAGAUUUGCAGCAGCAUUCUGAGACCAAAGUCUCAUACAUACUAUUGCUUAAAACCUUGUUCCCAGGUCCUGUGUAUUAGUGUACUUGGCAAUGUUUUUUUGGAUCCUGGUAUUAAAACAGAAGAGAUAGAAUAUACUAUGUGAUUACAGGAAUACUGAUAGUAGCUCCUGUAAAUUUCUAUUUACAUAAACUUGUGUGCAAAAGACCUACUCUGUGCCUCAUGACAUUUACAAUUGGCAUUUAGUUCUCCUGUGAGGCCGAGGAGUCAUUCACUACUCACUGGCAUUGAACAGUUUUACCAUAGCCACCUCUUCCAGCAUCAUAGUCUUGCCGAUACUCAUCUCUGGCCCCCCGACCUCCCCCGGCCGUACUGCCGGCCCUCCUUAAAUCCUG